GUCGAGACAAAGAGAUCAAGAACUGAACGAGGAGAUCGAGCGUCUGAAGAAGAAGCUGGCAGACUCUGAUAGGCUGGAGCACCAGCUGGAGGAGGCGGUCUCUCUCAGACAGGACUACGAGAGCUCCUCCUCCAAACUGAAACUCUGGAGAAGCAGGUGAAGACCCUGAGACAGGAGAAGGACGAAGUGCACAAGCAGCUGGCGGACUCUCUGGAGCGUCUCCGCAGUCAGACCAAGGAGCUGAAGGAGGCGCA
Labrus bergylta (ballan wrasse) is the source of this 254-nucleotide non-coding RNA. Lineage: Eukaryota; Metazoa; Chordata; Actinopteri; Labriformes; Labridae. The record is from RefSeq and is a predicted model, not a curated record.